Molecule: long non-coding RNA, 965 nt
Organism: Erpetoichthys calabaricus (reedfish)
Lineage: Eukaryota; Metazoa; Chordata; Cladistia; Polypteriformes; Polypteridae
Exons: 2
Source: RefSeq, a predicted model, not a curated record
AGAGCACAAAAGUUAACUCUUUACACAGCUAAACACGUUGAUGCUGAAUGAGCGAGACGAGACUUCCUGGUUAACGCACCAAUCAGCACACAGGAACUUAACUGCGUGCUCUGAUUGGGUAGCUUCUCAGCCAUUUCCCAAUAGCGUCCCUUUUAUGAAAUCAACUGGGCAAAUCAACUGAGGAAGCAUGUACCAGAAGUAAAAAGACCCAUUAUCCGCAGAAAACCGCGAAGCAGCGAAAAAUCUGCGCUAUAGAUCAGUGAUAGAGUGAAGCUGCGAAAGUCGAAGCGCGAUACAGCGAGGGAUUACUGUAUAAGUAUCACAAAUGACAUUUCUUCAAAAGGUGGCUGCGUUGACACUUCGGGAAAACCUCUGAAUAGGCUGUCUUCUCUUCCAGAUCGAGAGGAGUCCACUGAUGUAGUUUGGUUCAUGACAUACAGUAAGGUUGUCCCUGGGCAGUUCCCCCUAGAGGUGCUCCAGGUUUGUACCACUGGGUGGAGACUCUGCAGCAAACACAGGACAUGCCGGACAGAUUAUAUCGCUUGGCUGUUUUGGAAACACCUAUGAAUUCCCCAGGAAGAACUGGAAUCUGUAGCUGGAGACAGGAAAGUCUGGGCUAACCUGAUUGGCUUGCUGGCACAGCAACCUUUAACCAGGUAAAAUGAUUUCUGAAAAUGAGAAGAAAUUCAUUCUUUCAUUUAUAAAGAUUCUGCAUUGGACUUGUAGCUUUCACUCCCUUGAAGAUCAUUUUUGAUAUAUUUUGGGACCUUUGAGAUAUUUGUAAACAUUUAAAGCCAGCUCCCCAUCUUAGGCCUGUGCAGGCCAAGGUCCUCCCGUGGAAUUUGGAAUCAGGUGGCCUAAGGUGAGGCCUGUCUUUGCAUCUUCUAGUGAAAGUUGUGGCCUGGCUUAUGGGUCUUUUAGAGGCCUCAUAACUUUUUCAUUAUUUUCUGUGCACUCCACAGAUA